This is a long non-coding RNA of Acanthochromis polyacanthus (spiny chromis), 15184 nucleotides long. RefSeq lists it as uncharacterized. The transcript has 4 exons. NCBI's taxonomy places the organism in Eukaryota, Metazoa, Chordata, Actinopteri, Pomacentridae. The record is from RefSeq and is a predicted model, not a curated record.
GACCUCCAGAAUUUUGAUGGUUCGCCAUGAAACAUCAAGUGGUAUCUAACUAUCCUCUGCAUGCUCCAAUCUACCUCAGACCUCACAUGAUUAAACACAGUCCUGUCCUGAUCACAUUUAUAGACUAAAAUACAUUCACAGCAUGUACCAUCGCGCCCCCUACAGCAUUUAAAAAAUAGCCUCCACAGAGACUUUCAGCUAGGACUAUGAAAUUUGGCAUGCAAAUGUAGCAUGUAAGUGCAAACAAAAAAGUCUCUUGGAGUCAUUCUCUAAACCCAACAGAAAGUCGGCCAUUUUUAAUUAAAUGUCAGAUUUUUGGUGUUUUUGGUCAUUUUCAAAAAUUCAUUUCUCACAGGCAAUAACUCCAAAACAUCUGAAUUUGGGAAAAUAUAUAAGACACGUCUUCAGGUUGCAUAUUUGCGAAAAUUGUUCAUAAAACUCUAAGGGCGUGGCCAUGGCGGGCAGCUGAAGUUUAAUGUUACGCCAUGAAGCAGGACGUCUUGUGUAAAUCCCCUGUACACGCUGCAAUCCGCCUCAAACUUUACAUGUUUGAUCAGAGUCCAGUCCUGAUGAGUUUCAUAGACCAACAUACAGUCACAGAGAUAGCGCCACCUGGUGGAUGGACACAAAGUGCUGCAUAAAUAGCCUGUACAUGCUCAAAUCUGCCUGAAAUUUGACCUGUGUGCUCAGAAUCCAGCCUUUGUGACAUUCAUGGGCCUAAAUACACUCUCAGUCGUAGCUUUGCCUGGUGGAGAUGCUUGGGGUCGCCGACCAGGAAGUAUGCGAGGACCCGUUCAACGCUGCUCGCAGCUUUAAUUAUUAUUAUUAUCCUGCCGAAAGAACUGCAUUUUUCAGGGCCUGAACAUGCUCGAAAAGUCAUGAAAAUUUGCACACACAUCAGAACUGGCGAAAAAUUUCAUAUUUUGUAGGGCAUGUGGAGAUGUGUGGCAAAAUGGCUCCAUAGCGCCCCCUACAAAAUUUUAAAAAGUGGUAUUAGGCCAACUCAGAGGACAUUUGGUCUAGAGCUACAAAAUUUGGGAGGCAUAUGCAGCACAUCAGGAAACACAAAAAAGUCAAUCACAGCCAUGCUCUAAACCCAACAGGAAGUGCGCCAUCAUGCGUUAACUGUACAAAAUCUAUGAUGAACUCCUCCUAGGGGGAAAGUCUUAGCGAUCUGAAAUUUGGCCAGAACAUACAUGAGGCCUUCCUGAGAAAAAGUUAUUAAAAUCUUCCUCCAUAGUCAAAGGGUGUGGUCGUGGCGGCCUGUCGUAAUUUGAUCCUUCGCCAUGAAACAGGAAAUGCUGUCUAACUCUCCUGAACAUGCUCCGAUCUGAAUGAAACUUUAUAUGUAUGAUCACAGACCUGCCUCGAUGACAUCCAUAUAGCAAGAUUCAUUCACAGUCACAGCGCCACCUUGUGGUAUCAAGAAUUUGACAUUUUUUACACUUUCAUGUACUAUUCUUAGCCUGUUGCUCAGAUUCACCUCAGAUGUGGCGACAUAAGCCUGAACACAUUGAUGAUGAAUCACAGAAAAAAUGGUGAUGUGUCAUAAAAAGGCGUGUCUGUGGCGGGACGGCAAAGUUUGAUGUUUCGCCAUGAAAAUUGAAGUGUUCAUAUCUCAGCUGCAAAGGAUCCUAUCUGCCCCAAACUUCAUGUGCUGGACACCAGAACCAGUUUGAGGACAUCCACACUGAAAAAUUUAGAAAAAGUCAUAGCGCCACCUAUUGGUAACAAGUAGUUUAGAAAUUACAUUUGCUUGCAUCAUUGCUCCAAACUUUGUCAUAUCCUUCUGGAAACUGGUCAGCUCAGUCUUCACCCCCUGACAAUGCCAAAGUGUGAAGAUUUUGGCAUUUGAUAAAAUGCUGUUGCCGUGGCAACGUUUUGUUGUUGUGACAAACAAAGUACUUUUUGACAGGCUUAGAAUGUUCAACAGCUCACCAAAAUUACCACACACAUCACUGUCGACCCAAGGAAGAACACGGUAUGCUUCUUGGAACUGUGCAUGCUAUAGCGCCCCCUACAGUAUGUUUAACAAACAGCCCUGGGAGCACGUUUCACAUACAUCCACAAAAUUUGAAAGGCAUAUAGAGCACACCAGGACACACAAAAAAGCCUCUUGGAGCCAUCCCCUAAACCCCACAGGAAGUCCGCCAUUUUGAAUUACGUGGAAAAAUUUUCUCUAUUUUUUUAAUUUUUGAGAGCGAACUCCUCCUUGGGGUUAAGGUCUAGAGAGCUGAAAUUUUGCCAAGAUAUACAACACAAUGUUAUGAUCAAAAGUUAUUAAAAGAUUCUUGCAGAGUCAAAGGGUGUGGACAUGGCGACCUCCAGAAUUUUGAUGGUUCGCCAUGAAACAUCAAGUGCUACCGAACUAUCCUCUGCAUGCUCCAGUCUACCUCAGACCUCACAUGAUUAAACACAGUCCUGUCCUGAUCACAUUUAUAGGCCAAAAUACAUUCACAGCAUCUACCAUAGCGCCCCCUGAAGCAUUUAAAAAAAUAGCCUCCACACAGACUUUCACCUAUGACUAUGAAAUUUGGCAUGCAUAUGUAGCACAUCAGUGCAAGCAAAAAAGUCUCUUGGAGUCAUUCUCUAAACCCAACAGAAAGUUGGCCAUUUUGAAUUAAAUGUCAGAUUUUUGGUGUUUUUGGUCAUUUUCAACAAUUCAUUUGUCACUGGCAAUAACUCCAAAACACCUGAAUUUGGGAAAAUAUAUAAGAAACGCCUUCAGGUUGCAUAUUUGCGAAAAUUGUUCACAAAACUCAAAGGGUGUGGCCAUGGCGGACAAAUGAACUUUAAUGUUACGCCAUGAAGCAGGACGUCUUGUGUAAAUCCCCUGUACAUGCUGUAAUCUACCUCAAACUUUACAUGUUUGAUCAGAGUCCAGUCCUGAUGAGUUUCAUAGACCACGAUACAGUCACAGAGAUAGCGCCACCUGGUGGAUGGACACAAAGUGCUGCAAAAAUAGUCUGUACAUGCUCCAAUCUGCCUGAAAUUUGACCUGUGUGCUCAGAAUCCAAUCUUUGUGACAUUCAUGGGCCUAAAUACAUUCUCAGUCAUAGCAUUGCCUGGUGGAAAUGCUUGGGGUCUCCGACCAGCAAGGAUGCGAGGACCCGUUCAACGCUGCUUGCAGCUUUAAUUAUUAUUAUUAUUAUUCUGCCAAAACAACUGCAUUUUUCAGGGCCUGAACAUGCUCGAAAAGUCAUGAAAAUUUGCACACACAUCAGAACUGGCGAAAAAUUUCAUAUUUUUUAGGGCAUGUGGAGGUGUGUGGCAAAAUGGCUCCAUAGCGCCCCCUACAAAAUUUUAAAAAGUGGUAUUAGGCCAACUCGGAGGGAAUUUGGCCGAGAGCUAAAAAAUUUGGGAGGCAUAUGCAGCACAUCAGGAAACACAAAAAAGUCAAUCACAGCCAUGCUCUACACCCAACAGGAAGUGCGCCAUCAUGCGUUAACUGUACAAAAUCUAUGAUGAACUCCUCCUCGGGGAAAAGUCUGAGCGAUCUGAAAUUUUGCCAGUACAUACAGCAGACCUUCCUGAGAAAAAGUUAUCAAAAUCUUCCUCCAUAGUUAAAGGGUGUGGUCGUGGCGGCCUGUCGAAAUUUGAUCCUUCGCCAUGAAACAGGAAAUGCUGUCUAACUCUCCUGAACAUGCUCCGAUCUGAAUGAAACUUUACAUGUAUGAUCACAGACCUGCCUCGAUGACAUCCAUACAGCAAGAUUCAUUCACAGUCACAGCGCCACCUUGUGGUAUCAAGAAUUUGACAUUUUUUACACUUUCAUGUACUAUUCUUAGCCUGUUGCUCAGAUUCACCUCAGAUGUUGUGACAUAAGCCUGAACACAUUGAUGAUGAAGCACAGAAAAAAUGGUGACGUGUGAUGAAAAGGCGUGUCUGUGGCGGGACGGCAAAAUUUGAUGUUUCGCCAUGAAAAUUGAAGUGUUCAUAUCUCAGCUGCAAAGGAUCCUAUCUGCCCCAAACUUCAUGUGCUGGACACCAGAACCAGUUUGAGGACAUCCACACUGAAAAAUUUAAAAAAAGUCAUAGCGCCACCUCUUGGUAACAAGCAGUUUAGAAAUUACAUUUGCACACAUCAUUGCUCCAAACUUUGUCAUAUCAUUCUGAAAAUUGGUCAGCUGAUUCAUCACACCCUGACAAUGCCAAAGUAUGAAGAUUUUAGCAUUUGAUAAAAUGCUGUUGCCGUGGCAACGUGUUGUUGUUGUGACAAACAAAGUACUUUUUGACAGGCUUAGAAUGUUCAACAGCUCACCAAAAUUUACACACACAUCACAGUCGUCUCAAGGAAUAACACUGUAUGCAUCUCUGCAGGGCAUGUGCUAUAGCGCCCCCUGCAGUAUGUUUAAUAAACAGCCCCCGCAGCAUGUUUCACCAACAUCCACAAAAUUUGGGAGGCCUAUAGAGCACACCAGGACACACAAAAAAGUCUCUUGGAGCCAUCCCCUAAACUCAACAGGAAGUCCGCCAUUUUGAAUUAAGUGGAUAAAAUUUCUGUAUUUUUUCAUUUUUGAGAGCGAACUCCUCCUCGGGGUUAAGGUCUAGAGAGCUGAAAUUUUGCCAGGAUAUACAACACGAUGUUAUGAUCAAAAGUUAUUAAAAGAUUCUUGCAGAGUCAAAGGGUGUGGACAUGACGACCUCCAGAAUUUUGAUGGUUCGCCAUGAAACAUCAAGUGCUACCUAACUAUCCUCUGCAUGCUCCAAUCUACCUCAGACCUCACAUGAUUAAACACAGUCCUGUCCUGAUCACAUUUAUUGGCCAAAAUACAUUCACAGCAUCUACCAUAGCGCCCCCUAAAAGAAUUUAAAAAAUAGCCUCCACACAGACUUUCACCUAUGACUAUGAAAUUUGGCAUGCAUAUGUAGCACAUCAGUGCAAGCAAAAAAGUCUCUUGGAGUCAUUCUCUAAACACAACAGAAAGUCAGCCAUUUUGAAUUAAAUGUCAGAUUUUUGGUGUUUUUGGUCAUUUUCAACAAUUCAUUUGUCACUGGCAAUAACUCCAAAACACCUGAAUUUGGGAAAAUAUAUAAGAAACGCCUUCAGGUUGCAUAUUUGCGAAAAUUGUUCACAAAACUCAAAGGGCAUGGCCAUGGCGGCCAACUGAACUUUAAUGUUACGCCAUGAAGCAGGACGUCUUGUGUAAAUCCCCUGUACAUGCUGUAAUCUACCUCAAACUUUACAUGUUUGAUCAGAGUCCAGUCCUGAUGAGUUUCAUAGACCACGAUACAGUCACAGAGAUAGCGCCACCUGGUGGAUGGACACAAAGUGCUGCAAAAAUAGUCUGUACAUGCUCCAAUCUGUCUGAAAUUUGGCCUGUGUGCUCAGAAUCCAGUCCUCGUUACAUCCAUGAGCCUAAAUACACUUUGUCGCAGCAUUGCCUGGUGGACAUGCUUGGGGUCGCCGACCAGCAAGUAUGCGAGGACCCGUUCAAUGCUGCUCGCAGCUUUAAUUAUUAUUAUAUUUGUCUCUCAGAACAACUGCAUUUUUGAGGGCCUAAACAUGCUCAAAAAGUCAUGAAAAUUUGCAAACACAUCAAAACUGGCGAAAAUUUUCAUAUUUUGUAGGGCAUGUGGAGGUGUGUGCAAAAAGGACUCCAUAGCGCCCCCUACAAAAUUUUAAAAAGUGGUAUUAGGCCAACUCAGAGGGAAUUUGGUCGAGAGCUACAAAAUUUGGGAGACAUAUGCAGCACAUCAGGAAACACAAAAAAGUCAAUGACAGCCAUGCUCUAAACCCAACAGGAAGUGUGCCAUCAUGCGUUAACUGUACAAAAUCUAUGAUGAACUCCUCCUAGGGGGAAAGUCUGAGCGAUCUGAAAUUUUGCCAGUUCAUACAGCCGGCCUUCCUGAGAAAAAGUUAUCAAAAUCUUCCUCCAUAGUUAAAGGGUGUGGUCGUGGCGGCCUGUCGAAAUUUGAUCCUUCGCCAUGAAACAGGAAAUGCUGUGUAACUCUCCUGAACAUGCUCCAAUCUGAAUGAAACUUUACAUGUAUGAUCACAGACCUGCUUCGAUGACAUCCAUAUAGCAAAAAUGAUUUACAGUCACAGCACCACCUUGUGGUAUCAAGAAUUUGACAUUUUUUACACUUUCAUGUACUAUUCUUAGCCUGUUGCUCAGAUUCACCUCAGAUGUUGUGACAUAACCCUGAACACAUUGAUGAUGAAUCCCAGAAAAAAUGGUGACGUGUCAUGAAAAGGCGUGUCUGUGGCGGGACGGCAAAGUUUGAUGUUUCGCCAUGAAAAUUGAAGUGUUCAUAUCUCAGCUGCAAAGGAUCCUAUCUGCCCCAAACUUCAUUUCCUGGACACCAGAACCAGUUUGAGGACAUCCACACUGAAAAAUUUUUAAAAAGUCAUAGCGCCACCUAUUGGUAACAAGCAGUUUAGAAAUUACAUUUGCACACACCAUUGCUCCAAACUUUGUCAUAUCAUUCUGAAAAUUGGUCAGCUGAUUCUUCACCCCCAGACAAUACCACAGUGUGAAGAUUUUGAUAUUUGAUGAAAUGCUGUUGCCGUGCCAACGCGUUGUUCUUGUGACAAACAAAGUACUUUUUGACAGGCUUAGAAUGUUCAUCAGCUCACCAAAAUUUACACACACAUCACAGUCGUCUCAAGGAAUAACACUGUAUGCAUCUCUGCAGGGCAUGUGCUAUCGCGCCCCCUGCAGUAUGUUUAAUAAACAGCCCCGGCAGCAUGUUUCACCUACAUCCACAAAAUUUGGGAGGCCUAUAGAGCACACCAGGACACACAAAAAAGCCUCUUGGAGCCAUCCCCUAAACUCAAAAGGAAGUCCGCCAUUUUGAAUUACGUGGAAAAAUUUUCUCUAUUUUUUAAUUUUUGAGAGCGAACUCCUCCUAGGGGUUUACUCCCAGAGACCUCAAAUUUUACCAGAGUAUACAACACGAUGUUAUGAUCAAAAGUUAUUAAAAGAUUCUUGCAGAGUCAAAGGGUGUGGACAUGGCGACCUCCAGAAUUUUGAUGGUUCGCCAUGAAACAUCAAGUGCAAUCUAACUAUCCUCUGCAUUCUCCAAUCUACCUCAGACCUCACAUGAUUAAACACAGUCCUGUCCUGAUCACAUUUACAGGCCAAAAUACAUUCACAGCAUGUACCAUAGUGCCCCCUAAAGCAUUUAAAAUAUAGCCUCCACACAGACUUUCACCUAGGACUAUGAAAUUUGGCAUGCAUGUGUCGCACGUCAGUGCAAGCAAAAAAGUCUCUUGGAGUCAUUCUCUAAACCCAACAGGAAGUUGGCCAUUUUGAAUUAAAUGUCAGAUUUUUGGUGUUUUUGGUCAUUUUCAACAAUUGAUUUCUCACAGGAAAUAACUCCAAAACACUUGAAUUUGGGACAAUAUAUACAACACGCCUUCAGGUUGCAUAUUUGUGAAAAUAGUUCACAAAACUCAAAGGGCGUGGCCAUGGCGGCCAACUGAACUUUAAUGUUACGCCAUGAAGCAGGAUGUCUUAUGUAAAUCCCCUGUACAUGCUGCAAUCUGCCUCAAACUUUACAUGUUUGAUCAGAGACCAGUCCUGAUUAGUUUCAUAGACCAAUAUACAGUCACACAGAUAGCGCCACCUGGUGGAUGGACAGAAAGUGCUGCAUAAAUAGCCUGUACAUGCUCCAAUCUGCCUGAAAUUUGACCUGUGUGCUCAGAAUUCAGCCUUUGUGACAUUCGUGGGCCUAAAUACACUGUCAGUCGUAGCAUUGCCUGGUGAAAAUGCUUGGGGCUGCCGACCAUCAAGGAUGCGAGGACCCGUUCAACGCUGCUUGCAGCUUUAAUUAGGGACCGAGCCAGCGAAUCGGGGGGCGGGGCGAGGUCCCGCCCAAUGCUGCUUGCAGCUUUAAUUAUUAUUAUUAUUAUUAUUAUUAUUAUUAUUCCCCGCACGUUUCCCUUAAUUUGACCCCCUAAACGUGCAUAACUUUUAUGAAAUUUGGCACGCACGUCGGGUCAUGCGAAAAUUUCAAUAUUCUGAAAACAAAUUCUGAUUAAACUCUAUAGCGCCACCUAGGGACACGAAAAUUUGAAAAAUCACAAAUAACCUCAGCUCUCUGCACACGAAUGUCGUAGAGACACGCAACCACCACUCACGCGUUCGUCAGCUCGAGCUCUAUGAAAACCUGUCUGCCCGAUUUGAGGCAUCUUCAAUCUAGGGGGCGCUAUAACCCAAAAUAUGAAAACCCUUUAAAGAUUAUCUCCUCUGAAACCGUACAAUAUUCUGGCUUCAUAUUUGGACAGAUUAUAGUGAAUAUCCAGCAAAACAAAAGUUAUCAAAAGAAAAAUGCUAACUUGUCUAGUUUUUCUUUUAUAAGCUAACAAAGUUUGUCUUCACCUGAAACCAUGUUUCGCUUCAAUUUGACCCCUUAAACGUGCAUAACUUUAUAUGAAAUUUUGCACGCACGUUCGACCGCUCGAGCUCUACGAAAACCUGUCCGAACGAUUUCAGUUGUCGUCAAUCUAGGGGGCGCUAUAACCCAAAAUAUGAAAACCUUUUUCUCCAAAGUGGCGUUACCUACACUGUACGAAAAAUGUCGGGGGAAAAUAGGGAAAUCACGACUGUCGAAUUCUUUGCAACCACGACUGACCUAUGGUCAAGCAGAACAAUGGAGCAGUUACCUGUCCUUGACAAUUCACUACAUUGACGGGAAUUUUCAAAUGAAGAGUCGGUGCUUGCAGAUUUGUCAUUUUUCCCCACAAGACCACACUGGAGAAGCUAUAGCUGAGGGACUGCAGGAGGCACUGGCUUCUUGGAGCCUGCAAGAGACUAGUCUGCAUCACAACAGACAGUGGCCCUAAUGUCGUCAAGGUAACUUCUCUAAAUAAAUGGACGAGACUUCAGUGCUUUGGCCAUAGGCUCCAUCUAGCAAUUGGUGAGUGGGACGAAUAAAAAAUACAAUUUAAAAAUUUACACAUAAUUGAAUUGUAUGUAAUAUAUGCUAAUAUAAUGGAGUGAAUGUCAAUGGAUGAAUUAUCAAAUGUUAUAUAAUAUGAAAAAAUGAUUGGAUGAAUAUGCAUAUAAUAUUAUAUUCUGUUUUAAUUUAACAUGAGUCUUAUGUUCUUUUAUAGAGAAUGCAAUGAGAGAUCCACGGAUUGACCAUGUGGUAGGCAUCUGCAAAAAACUUAUCAGCAGUUUCUCCCACAGUUGGAGGCGUAUAAAGGAGCUAGCACCAAUGAUUGCAAGAGUUCUGGAGCAGCAGAGGGCCAUUUCACAAGUCUUAUCUUCUGACCGAAAGUCAAGACACCUCAUCCCAACAUGGCAGGACAGUGACAUCCUGGAAGCCAUCAACAGAGCCCUCUACCUCUGAUUGAGUUUACUGAUGCACUGUCCAGUGAGAAGUAUGUCAGUGUUUCUUUUGUGAAGCCAGUCCUCCACCUGUUCAGCUCCUCCAUCCUCAAAGUAAGUGAUGAUGUUCCAGACCUGACCAACACUAUCAAAACCAAAAUCCUCACUUACUUGGAGGAAAAAUACAAGGAUCCAGAGACACAAGAACUGCUUGAUAUGGCCUCUACCCUUGAUCCACGCUUCAAGCUGAGAUACAUCAGUGAAGACAGGACUGCAUCAAUCCAGGAGAAGGGCCCAGUAGAUUCAUGUGGAGGGACUGCAGAGGAUGCACCCAGGACAUCAAAGAAAAAGAAGACCUUGGGGAACUUCUUCAAGGUCACUGGGACAGCCACACCAAGAUCCUCUCCUGACCAGGAACAACAGGCUGCUGAAUCUGAGCUUAGGUCUUACCUACAGUGUACCAACCUUGACAGUGAAAAGGACCCGCUGGACUGGGGGAAGGAACAUCAGAAACUCUACCCACGACUUUUCGAAGCUGGCAAAAAAGUACCUGCCCAUUCCUGCAACAAGUUCCACAUCAGAGAGGGUCUUUAGUGUUUUCCCCCCCACAGAAUCCUACCGUUGAAACACGACAAGAAUGUGUUGUCAAAGCACUUUGUGUGUGCCUCAAUGAAAAUCAUGAAAAGUUCAUGAUUUUGUGAUGCUGAACCUGGUGCAAUGAGAGCAAUGGAGGAAAAAGUCAUGGAAAUCUGUUAUCCGACAUGACGGAGCAGAGCCCACAGACCCGCCUGAGGAUGUUGGCAUCAUCAUCGAGGGAAUUGAAGUGUUGCAAGAUCUGAGAGAUAUGGCAAAUGGGUGUGCAGCCCUGUUUGGACCCAUCUACAGUUUAAACCUCAGCUACCCAAAAGACCUGAGAUACACGUUUGAAUUUUUUCAGAAAGUUUUAAUGGACUUGGAUUGCAACAGACUUUCCACAAACAAAGCUGAAGAUCCUCAAGAACCGAUAACAUGAGUAAUUCUGCCUGCACCAUGACUGCCUGGUCUCCAAAUUCAGAGCCACUGCAGUAUCACGGGUCAGAGAUCUCAUGUCUGUCUUCCCUCUCACUGUGACUUUGACUGAAGUGACUAUUGCAUUUAUAACUGAGAAAACUGUACUGGCACUUAUAGUGUGUCUGUACCCUGUAACAGGGUGUCUUCACUUUGGGAUGCAGUUUUUUUUUUUUUUUAAACCCGUUUUCCUAAGCAUAGAAUUUGUUCUGCCCCUGCCUCUCCCAGGAAACAACUUGGACUUGGACUUACAGCUACAAACUGUGGCUGAUUGAUGGGAUUGACAAACUGUGAUGGGAGUUACUGGUUCUUAUAGUUGUUUCAUGUUGAGCAUUAAUACAUUUGAUAUGUUUUAUUUUUGUAACUCUCAAGUGGUAAUUGUUUCUGCAGAGAAGUUUGGUAAAUAUUCAAGUAUUAAUGUUUUCUCCAAUGUUUACGACAGUGUUAUUCAGGCAUGACUAGUUUAUUUUAAAGGAACCAAGGGUAUUAUCAGUUUUUGAAGCUUGAUUGUUAUUUUCUAUCAUUUUUCUCAAUUUAUUGAAUGUUUUAAGUGCAAAACACUAAAUUGUAUAGUUGUGUUUAUAAUGGUUUAUUUGCUGUUUCUUCGUUUGGAGAAUUUUUAACGUAAUAUCAGAUGUAUAAUAUGAAACAAUAGUAAUUUAGAAAAUUAAGGUUUUCUCCAAUUUAUUUAUGUUUGAGAUAAUGUUAUUCAGGGAUGACUAGUGCACUUCAAAGGAACCAAGAGUAAUGAUUUGAAGCUCAGUCAUUAUGUGUACUUGUCUUUUUAUUUUUUCUCAAUUUAUUUUCUCAAAUUUAUUUUUUAAACAGCAAUGUGCUAAGCAGUGAAUACUGUUGUUUACAGCAGUUUAGUUUAGAUGGAGCAGCUUAGACCUGACUCUACUCCAGCCAGUGGCCUGCGUCUGCUGCUGUGAUGCCAGUCCAGAUGCCAAGUUUUAAAAUGCACCACUACACUUUCAUUCACUGUUGUGUUUUGUAAUUCUUUUCGCUAUCUUUAAUUAUCUUGAUGUCUGCCCAUUCAGUGUAGCUCCACUCGGGUCAAUUCAAAGUUUGGGGUGGUCUCUGGCUCCCUCUAGUGUGGGCUGGGUUUGACCUCGGUUUUAGUGGUCUUUAGUGUGCAGUGCAGUGGCACGGUAUUUGUGUGCAGUGUGAUUUUGUAAGGGUCUUGUGUGCCCACGGGGCUGGGGGUGGGGCCACCCGGGCCAGGAGUGGGGAUUCCUGUAGGGAUUCCCUUGAACUGCUGGUGCCAGCCAUCAUUUUAUGUGUUCCUAAUAAAGUUUGAAUAGUUGCAUCCUUCUGCUCCUUGUCCUUCUGAGCUUUACUGGGUUAAAAAAAAAAGGUGUUGGCAGCAAAAACUCACGCUACAGUAAAAUAUAGACUGCCAUUCACAAAGUUUCUUAUUUUAUAUUAUUUAUUUUAUUUUUCUUAUUUCUAUUUUAGCAGUAAUACGUGGUUCUGUAUCUCAGCCUCCACGGUGACGGCAGUUUGGGAUUGUAGUGUUGGAUACCUGCCCAACAGCUCCUUUUUAGAUGGAAAUGGGGUAAUUGUGUGAGGUUCUGGGAGACACAAGAGGGUGAAGGUGGUAGAGUUCUACCUACCACUCAGGUAUGUUGUUGUUAUCAACAGUGUUGUUUGCUGCUGUUGUCUUUCUUGAUGUUACAUGCCAGGUGCUUAAUGUUGUGUACCAUGCAGUUGCUUAGCUCGAAAGUUCAUUUCCCUGUUUUGACAUGCAGAGUUCAGUGAAAUAGUGGUUAGCACUUUUGCCUUGCAGCAACAAGAUCUCCGGUUAAAAUCCCGGCCUGGGCCUGGGAUCUUUCUGCAUGGAGUUUGCAUGUUCUCCCUGUGCAUGCGUGGGUUUUCUCCGGGUACUCCGACUUCCUCCCACAGUCCAAAAUAUACGCUGAGGUUAAUUGGUUACUCUAAAUUGCCUGUAGGUGUGAGUGUGAUUGUUUGUGUGUAUAUGUAGCCCAGGGUGUCCCCUGCCUUCGCCCAAGUCAGCUGAGAUAGGAUCCAGCACCCCCCGUGACCCUACUGAGGUUAAAGCGGUGUAUAGAGAAUGGAUGGAUGGACAUGCAGAGUUGUUGUAGCACAGUGCAGUAGGGAUGUCGUGGCUGUUUCCUGGAAUGUUAGAGGCCUCGGCCACAUUGUUAAGAGACAAGGUUUUCAGACAUCUUAAAUCUCUCUCUGCUGAUGUUUUUUUUUUUUUUUACAAGAAACUCACAUCCAACCACCUGAGCAACCCGGACUGAGAUGCAACUGAGUAUCAAUCGUCAUUCACGUCUCAUGCUCAAGGAGUAGCUAUUCUCUUUGAUAAAAACCCAUUCCAACUCUCCUCCUUGACUGAAGACCCUCACGACAGAUACCUAAUGGUUUCAGGUACCAUAAAUUCAUUCCCACUAAGACUUCUUAUAUCUACUGUCCAAACAUAGAUGACCCCAGUUUUUUUCAGCAAAGUUUUUGAUAUACUCCCAGACGGGGAAAACGCAAACAUUAUAAUUGACAGUGAUUUGAACUGCUACCUAGAACUCUAUCUGGACAGAUUAUCCUCCUGUCUACCUCCAAAUAUAACAUCUGUACAUGUUACGAUUCACAAGGAGACUUGGGUGCAGGGAAUGAAAAACGACAACCACUGAAGCAGUUUAAAGGAUUUAUUGACAAAAUGUCAGGACAUGAAUACAUGAACUACAAAGAUGGCUACCAGAAUACAACACAAUUGACCUAUAGAUAAGGUAUAGUGAGAAUGACAGAAGACAGACCCCCUACUGUUACACGUUGAACAAAGUGCUACUAUUGAGUAUGUUUUGACCAGAUGGGUACUUUUUUUAAAAUAAAAAAUAUUGUCAGCAUGCUCUGAAAUGACGGGCUAGGAUGUGGAUGACUGAACGUGCUUUUAUUGUCUGAGUGACUAGUUUUGACAAUGUGGUCUCAGUUUAUUCCAACGCAUUUUUACAAAUAAAGCUAAUAUUAGGCUGCAUGCUAUUAUGAUGGAAGGCUGCAAGGUCUGAAUGUUUCUGUGAACAAACCUGAGUUAAACCUGAAGUUCUGCUCUGGAUCUGUUCCACUGAAUACACAGACUAACACACAACAAAACAGUGGAAGUGCUUCUAUGUUGUGGGUUUUCUUGGUGAGACAGUACAUUGUUUUGUGGCUCGUUAUUAACAAGGCAGCCUGGGUUAAAGUUGUGACUAUCCCCAGUUGACAUGGGCGUGAUUCCUAAACAAUCACCAGAUGUUCAACACCUGACAGAAUGACAGUGAUAUAUGUGUAUGAAGCGGGAUGUUCAUUGGACUGAUCAGUGGCAUGAUGAGUAAUAAGACCGUGGUCUCCUAGUUGUACCGCUGGAUGACGUUGUUUCGAAUGAUCUCACCAUAGCUAUUGAAAAAUAUGCUUUUUUUAUUUUGGCCCGCACAUUUCUUUUUGCUGUCAGUAGAUAUUUACAUAGAUAUAGACUUUAUUAAGUAGUUAUGCCGACGUUUCUCAGCGAGGUCUUCUUUAUCUGGUAUCUUUAUUUCACGCACAGCCAGGUUUGAUCGUGACAUAUCUGUGGACGAAACAUCUGGAGGCGGCAGCUAUUGCCAGUUUAACCAGACCAUCAGUUAAACUUUAACAUGGGCAAUGCAAACUACAAUAGCCUACCUAUAUAAGAGAACUCUAAAUUUACCGAAGGCCAGUGCAGGUGGGGAAGAAUUCAGGCGACGACUGGGUUUGAUACCAAAAAUGGCGGCAAGAUGAAUGCUCAGAGGAGCAGUGUUGUUUUUUUUUAACUCUUCAAACCUAACAGUUUAUUUCGUUCUUAAUACGGUGAACAAAAACGUUAAUUGUGCCUACUCAAUUUUUUUUUUUGCUCAACCGCAACUCUUUUAACGCUAACGAAUUAAAAUGAUUAAAGCUGAGAAGAGACAGAAUCAACCAGCUACCAGACCUGCUAAUGUUAGCCUAAUGGCGAAGCCUUUUUUUUUAACCUUUAUUGAAAAUAAGAACAAUACACUAAACAAUACAACAGACAAUACGAUGGAAAACGAUACAAAGAAACAAAAACACAUGCAAGCCCUUCAUUCGCAACAUCACUGACAACAUCCCUCCCCUCCCAUCCCCCACGCACAAUAUUUAGGUUGCAAUAUCAAUACAGACAACAUAUAACAAUUCAAUACCAUUUGUAACAAUGCUGAACAUAAACAAUAAAUCACAGAGUCAUAUUAGGACAGUAUCUUUCAAAGAGCUCCUGGGUUUUAGCAGCUUUUUUAUGGUGAACCUGUCUAAUCACAUUCACAUAUUGUUUUACUUCAUUAUAGAAUUUAUUCCAAUUUGGUUUCUCUUCAGCCCAUUUAACUUUAUGAAUAUGAUAUUUCCCUAAAGUGACAAUCAAUUGUAUAAAAGUUGCCAAAUCUUUAUUGACUACUUUUAUAACAUUAAAUAAGAUGUCCUUCUCCCGGAGGCAGAUUGUUCACCCAGAUAUAUCUGAUAGGAAUUGUUGUAUUUUAGUCCAGAAUAUCUUACUGUGCCCACACAGAAAAAACAUAUGUGGAAUAGUCUCUAUCUCACGAUCACAAAACUACAGUUAUAAUUGAUAUCUAAUUUAAACGUUUGUACUGUUUUUAGCAGGAUAAAUAUUGUUAUAUUAUCAUUUUAUAAGUAUUUUAUAAGUAACUUCUUUAAUUUUAUUGUUUAUAAACUUCUCGUCGACCAGCCACACCCUGUCCCAGUCAAUCUUACUGUACAAGGAGUUCCAGUGAGACACAGCUGCAGCUCUUGUUUUUGGUUGUAUGAGAUUUCUAACAAAUUUGUUUGAGCAUUUUCCCCUUAUCACAUCUAUUUGUUCAAUAAAUAAUUGUUUUCCUAUU